CCCCUUCUUGAUGCCAGGACCUACUGAGU
RNAcentral lists this non-coding RNA (29 nucleotides) under Homo sapiens (human). Lineage: Eukaryota; Metazoa; Chordata; Mammalia; Primates; Hominidae. The record is from RNAcentral.